RNAcentral lists this small nuclear RNA (164 nucleotides) under Lucilia cuprina (Australian sheep blowfly). RNAcentral's name for it is "U1 spliceosomal RNA". It matches the Rfam family "U1 spliceosomal RNA". Rfam says of the family: U1 is a small nuclear RNA (snRNA) component of the spliceosome (involved in pre-mRNA splicing). The record is from Rfam by way of RNAcentral. Lineage: Eukaryota; Metazoa; Arthropoda; Insecta; Diptera; Calliphoridae.
AAACUUACUCGGCGUAGGAGAUACCGUGAUCAUGAAGGCGGUUCUCCCGGAGUGUAGCUCAGUCAUUGCACUUACGAUUGAGUUUUACCUCCGCGAUAUUCCGAAUGGGAAUUCUUCGUGCGUGCAAUUUUUGGAAGCCGGGAUUGGAGAUAGCUCCAUCCCGU